CAACCUGAACUCAGUCGUGAUUACCCGCUGAACUUAAGCAUAUCAUUUAGCGGAGGAAAAGAAACUAAAAAGGAUUCCCCUAGUAACGGCGAGUGAAACGGGAAGAGCCCAGCGCCGAAUCGAUCAGUCUUUGGCUGCUUCGAAAUGUGGCGUAUAGGUGUAGUCUUCCAGCAGUGUCGUAUGUCCGAAGUCCUUGCGAUUGAGGCCAUAAACCAGAGAGGGUGCGAGCCCCGUUCUGGAUAGCGGCGCUGUUGGUUCGACUGCUCCUUGGAGUCGGGUUGCUUGAAAGAGCAGCCUAAAGUGGGUGAUAAACUUCAUCUAAGGCUAAAUAUUGACUCGAUUGCGAUAGCGAACAAGUACCGUGAGGGAAAGUUGCAAAGGACUUUGAAGAGAGAGUUCAAGAGAACGUGAAAUCGCUGGAGUGGAACCGGAGACAGUUGAUGUUGCUUGGAGACAAUCUUGGUGGCUGAUCGCUUAGCUGUGAUCGCCGCCGGGAGUCGUUUCCUAUGCUACGCCGACGGCGUUGGCCGCUCGUUCUGGCCCGACAGUGUUGCCCAUCUCGCAAGAGACGGUGUCUUGUUGUCGGUCGUUGGUUCGUGGUGGCUAGCGUUUAGUUACGCUAGUGUGUGUGACGUCGGUGUGAAAGUCGACGACGUUUCCGACCCGUCUUGAAACACGGAUUACGGAGUGUUUGUCUGCUGCGAGUCAAAGGGUGUAAAAACCUUGCGGCGCAAUGAAAGUGAAGGUUAGUCUCGAACUGACCGACGUGGGAUCCGUGCUCUUCGGAGUGCGGCGCACCACGGCCCUAUGCGUGUCACUUGUGACUGUGUAGAGGUUGAGCAGUAGGCAAGCGACCCGAAAGAUGGUGAACUAUGCCUGAGCAGGAUGAAGCCAGAGGAAACUCUGGUGGAAGUCCGUAUCGGUUCUGACGUGCAAAUCG
Molecule: non-coding RNA, 940 nt
Filed under: Caenorhabditis japonica
Lineage: Eukaryota; Metazoa; Nematoda; Chromadorea; Rhabditida; Rhabditidae
Description: Eukaryotic large subunit ribosomal RNA
Rfam family: Eukaryotic large subunit ribosomal RNA
Source: Rfam by way of RNAcentral